RNAcentral lists this small RNA (3443 nucleotides) under Pan troglodytes (chimpanzee). Its description in RNAcentral is "retained intron". Lineage: Eukaryota; Metazoa; Chordata; Mammalia; Primates; Hominidae. The record is from RNAcentral.
GUGCUGACGUCGGACGCCGCCGCGGCGCGCUCUGCAGACUCCGGGUCGCCGCUCCGCCGGGACGCGUUGGCCGGGGCGCGCGGUGCUUGGCUGCGGUGCUCACACUCAUGAGGAGCCGGAAGCUCACAGGUGCAGUGCGGUCUUCAGCGCGCUUGAAAGCACGAAGUUGUUCGGCAGCCAGGUUGGCCUCUGCCCAGGAAGUCGCUGGUUCCACGUCUGCCAAGACAGCAUGUCUGGUGAGCCCUGUUACCAUGGAGAAUGCCAAGAUCCUGACUCGAGGGUCCAUUUUUAUACAAAAUUGCCACUCCAAGAUGUGUUGCUUUAGAAAAAUAUCGAAUGUUACUUAUCUGCCAGAGGGGGACUAUUGCAGAUGAAAAGGUGACAGCACUGUAAUUGCCUUCAGAGAAAGACACACUCUGCAGGCCGGGGCUGGCUCUCCUAGCAACUGCCCACCCGUGUGUGUGUCUAGACCCGGGCCCUGAUCCUAGCACCCGCCCACCCAUGUGUGUCUAGACCCGGGCUCUGAUCCUAGCACCCGCCCACCCGUGUGUGUGUCUAGACCCGGGCUCUGAUCCUAGCACCCGCCCACCCGUGUGUGUGUCUAGACCCGGGCUCUGAUCCUAGCACCCGCCCACCCGUGUGUGUGUCUAGACCCGGGCCCUGAUCCUAGCACCCGCCCACCCGUGUGUGUGUCUAGACCCGGGCCCUGAUCCUAGCACCCGCCCACCCGUGUGUGUGUCUAGACCCGGGCCCUGAUCCUAGCACCCGCCCACCCGUGUGUGUCUAGACCCGGGCCCUGAUCCUAGCACCCGCCCACCCGUGUGUGUGUCUAGACCCGGGCCCUGAUCCUAGCACCCGCCCACCCGUGUGUGUGUCUAGACCCGGGCUCUGAUCCUAGCACCCGCCCCCGUGUGUGUGUCUAGACCCGGGCUCUGAUCCUAGCACCCGCCCACCCGUGUGUGUGUCUAGACCCGGGCUCUGAUCCUAGCACCCGCCCACCCGUGUGUGUGUCUAGACCCGGGCCUAUCCUAGCACCCGCCCACUCGUGUGUGUGUCUAGACUCGGGCCCUGAUCCUAGCACCCGCCCACUCGUGUGUGUGUCUAGACUCGGGCCCUGAUCCUAGCACCCGCCCACCCGUGUGUGUCUAGACCCGGGCUCUGAUCCUAGCACCCGCCCACCCAUGUGUGUCUAGACCCGGGCCCUGAUCGUAGCACCUGCCCACCCUUGCCUGUGUCUAGACCGGGGCCCUGAUCCUAGCACCCACCCACCCGUGUGUGUGUCUAGACCAGGCUCUGAGGCCACUUGUGCUCAUCACUCUGCUCUUAGCGUGCUGUCGAGUCAUGCUGGCCCAUUGCCGUGCAGCCUCACCGCCAGAGGCUUGAAGAGAAAGGCAGAGUGGGUGGGGAAAGGAAUGUCAUGCCGUCUGCCGUUCACCCUAGCCCAGCCAUCGAUUCCGAGGAGCGAGUUCCUGAACUUACCGGUGAAGUAGAGCCACUUCCCGGAGCCUACAGCUGAGGGGUUAGGACUUGGCCGUAUGCCAGCGUGUAGCACAGAGCUUUGCUCAUGAUGAGGUGCUUGGUAAAAUUUUGUCGAAGUCAAUUUAACAAAUAUUUCUUGAGCACCUACUGUGUGCCAGGCACUAAUCGGUGAAUAAAGCAAAGACCCCUGCCUUCACAGAGCUUAUGCCCUAGCAGAAAUGAAUGAAAGCUGGAUUCUUUUACUGUAAUUGUAUAAUAUAUAAAUAUAUGCUUCAGAAUUCACCUCAGGAGCUGUAACACCACUGGGGAAAACUGAAAGUGUAGGAGUGAUGUGGGGUGUGUCUAGAUUCAGUCUCACUUGUAUUUUGUCCCUUGGUGGCAAAACAGUGAAAUGACGAUCUGUGAAAGUUGUGGUCACAGCAUCUUUAUCAUUUCCGAUGUGAGAAGAAAUACUAGCCUCUGGAUUGAGGCCUGUUUUAUUCGCUAGAUAUGUCUGGUUCCCCUUACAUUUUUUUUUCUUGACAGACUUCCUCAUCCCACAAAGCCACAGACAGGCGAACGUCCAAGAAGUUCAAAUGUGACAAAGGACAUCUUGUGAAGUCAGAAUUACAGAAGCUUGUCCCUAAGAAUGACAGCGCUUCUUUGCCAAAAGUGACACCUGAGACCCCUUGUGAAAAUGAGUUUGCUGCAGGCAGUGCCUUGCUUCCAGGCAGCGAGGCUGGCGUUUCUGUGCAGCAGGGGGCUGCAAGUCUUCCUCUCGGUGGCUGCAGAGUUGUGAGUGACUCUCGCUUAGCAAAGACUAAAGAUGGCCUGUCCGUGCCAAAACACAGUGCCGGGUCCGGAGCAGAAGAAUCCAACAGCAGCUCCACUGUGCAGAAGCAGAAUGAGCCAGGGCUACAGACAGAGGAUGUGCAGAAGCCACCACUUCAGAUGGACAACAGCGUCUUUCUAGAUGACGACAGCAAUCAGCCAAUGCCCGUGAGCCGGUUCUUUGGAAACGUUGAGCUCAUGCAGGACCUCCCACCUGCGUCUUCAUCUUGUCCUUCAAUGAGCAGACGAGAGUUCAGAAAAAUGCAUUUCAGAGCCAAAGAUGAUGACGACGAUGACGGCGAUGAUGCAGAAAUGUAGGGGCCAUGCAAAAUAAUGUCCUUGAGUGUUCAGUACCAUUAACAAUGUGACAGUUUAGCACAUUACAAGAUUUAUAUAAAAUGUAUCUCCAAGAGAAUGUCUUAAUCAAACUUCAAAACUGACCCAUCUAAGUCAACAGUGCCAAGCACCCAGUACCUGUGGAGGAUGUGCUCAUGGGAACGAAAACUCGAACCGUCUUUGAGGUUGCAAAGCUGCUGUGCUGCGCCAAUGCCCUUUCUUUUUUUUUUUUUUUUUUUUUUCCUUGGAGACAGAGUUUCUCUCUUGUCGCCCAGGCUGGAGUGCAAUGGUGCGAUCUCGGCUCACUGCAACCUCCACCUCCUGGGUUCAAGCGAUUCUCCUGCCUCAGCCUCCUGAGUAGCUGGGAUUACAGGCAUACGCCACCACACCCAGCUAGUUUUUGUAUUAUUAGUAGACACGGGGAUUUCUCCAUGUUGGCCAGGCUGGUCUCAAACUCCUGACCUCGUGAUACGCCCGCCUCAGCCUCCCAAAGUGCUGGGAUUACAGGCGUGAGCCACCAUGCCCGGCCAGUGUCCUUUCUUAUACACGUCCAUACAUGAUGAUGGCUUGAGUCAGCUGCAGGGCAGUGGGCUUCAUGAGAGGGAUCUUUGUAAAGACAGCUCUUCACUUCAGCUCAGUAGCUUUGGUCAUAGGCAAGUUUGUUUUCCAUUAUCCUAAUUUGAUGAUUCUUUUGAUGAAUUCAGUGCUAGUUCUUAAAGAACUCUUUUACUUCUGUAUGUGGAGCUAAUGUUUACCUUGGAAAUUUUGCAAAAUACAUGUAAGAAAGAAAUAAAAUAUAUUUUGAAAAUAUUUUGAAA